RNAcentral lists this ribosomal RNA (253 nucleotides) under uncultured bacterium. Its description in RNAcentral is "partial 16S ribosomal RNA". It matches the Rfam family "Bacterial small subunit ribosomal RNA", at positions 524 to 776 of the family's 1533-position model. The record is from RNAcentral.
UACGUAGGGGGCAAGCGUUGUCCGGAUUUAUUGGGCGUAAAGAGCGUGUAGGCGGCUAGAUAGGUCCGUUGUGAAAACUCGAGGCUCAACCUCGAGACGUCGAUGGAAACCAUCUGGCUAGAGUCCGGAAGAGGAGAGUGGAAUUCCUGGUGUAGCGGUGAAAUACGUAGAGAUUGGGAAGAACACCAGUGGCGAAGGCGGCUAUCUGGACGGUUUCUGACGCUAAGACGCGAAAGCGUGGGGAGCAAACAGG